GUCUACUGCCAUGCCACCCUGAACGUGCCCAAGCUUGGCUGAUCUCAGAAGCUGAGCAGGGUUGGGCCUGAUUAGUACUUGGAUGGGAGACCUCACAGAACACAGUAACAAAUGAGC
Ribosomal RNA from Fukomys damarensis (Damara mole-rat), 117 nucleotides. The record is from Ensembl. Lineage: Eukaryota; Metazoa; Chordata; Mammalia; Rodentia; Bathyergidae.